GUCACGAGUUCAACACCAAAUCUCUUCGUAAAUUUGUACAGACUGUUGUUGAUACCGAGCUUCAUGACCGUUUGAUUCCGAUACUUUCUGCUGCUGCUUCUGACCAGACCUUGCUUGACUUGCAAGAUAUUCUUCAAAGGUUCGCUUUUGAUAACGUUUGCAAGAUCGCUUUCGGGUUUGACCCCGCCUGUCUCUUGCCUUCUUUACCGCAGGCACAGUUUGCAGAAGCGUUUGAAGAUGCUGCUCACAUAAGUAGCGAAAGAUUCCGUGCUUUCCUUAAUAAAACUUGGAAAAUCAAGCGAUUUUUCAAUGUUGGAUCAGAGAAAAGACUCAAGAUUGCAGUCUCUCAAGUCCGUGAGUUGGCAAAGAAGAUUGUAAAGGAAAAGAAACAAGAACUAGCUGAUAAGUCCUCUUUGGAAUCGGUUGAUCUCUUAUCAAGGUUCUUGAGCUCAGGCCAUUCAGACGAGAAUUUCGCUACGGAUAUAGUAAUCAGCUUCAUACUUGCUGGCCGUGACACAACAUCCGCGGCUUUGACAUGGUUUUUCUGGUUACUAUACAAAAACCCUGAAGUUGAAAAAGAAAUUCUCAAAGAAAUCAAAGAGAAAUCGAAUAUGCCAGUGUUUGAGGAAGUUAAAGACAUGGUCUACACUCAUGCUUCUCUUUGCGAGAGCAUGAGACUGUACCCUCCAGUCCCGAUGGAUAGCAAACUGGCAAUGGAGGACGAUGUUUUGCCAGACGGGACGGUGGUAAAGAAAGGAACGUUAGUGACGUAUCAUCCUUACGCGAUGGGAAGGAUGGAGAAGCUAUGGGGAUCAGAUUGGGCAGAAUUCAAGCCAGAGAGAUGGCUGGAGAGAGAUGAGACAGGGAAGUGGAUCUUUGUUGGGAGAGAUCCUUAUACUUAUCCAGUGUUCCAGGCAGGACCCAGGAUUUGUCUGGGGAAGGAGAUGGCGUUCUUGCAGAUGAAAAGGAUAGUGGCUGCUGUUCUAAGGCGAUUCAAGGUGGUGCCGACGGUGGAGGAUGGGUUUCAGCCGGAGCUUCUUGUUUAUCUGACUUCUAAGAUGAAAGGUGGCCUCCCCAUCAAGGUUGAGGAAAGGGGAGAGUUUCCCUAGCUGUCGAGACCCUGUUUUGUUCGGGGCUGAAGGAGUUGUUUCUGGUCCAUCAAUGAAAUUUAGACUUUUAAUUGGGUUUAGAUUAUUGUUACAGACUAUUUAUUUUAUGUUACCUGAAGCUCGUUGCUUUCUGUUUUGUUUUGUUUUUCUUGUAAUAAAUCCUCUUCUUUCUUUUUUUAAAAAAGAAGAAAAUUGGAUGAAAGUGGCUAAGUGCUAAUCGAGUUAAAAACUGCAGGAAUGAAAUUCUUUUUUACCCAAAACCCUCUUUCCUAACGUAAACCCGAACAAAAAAGCCACAAUUCAUCAGCUAAGUACGCAAUUACCAACAAAUCCACGCAAUACAGAAAUUCAGAAUCGACAGGAACACAUCCACAAUUAUCACAAUACAGUGAACAGUCUAACAAAACUAAGGAAAUAACUCUGGCUGCGAGUUUGAGCUUGGGGCUUAGAUGUUAGGCUUUUCGGGCAAUAGUUAGUGGAGAAGUAGUUAGGAAGGUUUGUUGGAGUAGUUGGGUUCUGCCAGCGUUGACUGAAGAUAAUGGGAGCCGCUGCUGACGGCAACGAUGACGGUUGACGACAUUAGUGAUCUUUUGGGGAUCUGAAUGGUGGAAAUGAAGAGAAAAGGAAGGCAAGCAACAUUUUGAAAAAUCAGCCAGAUCAGACAGCGAGAAGGGGGUGAAACUAUGGUGGAAAGGCCACGGAUAUAGCUUCAGAUCUAGACGGUUGGAGACUUCUUUUUUUGCAUAAUCCGAGUUCAAAACGGUGAAGAGGCGGUGACGAGGAACAAUUCGGUGAUAUUUGGAGAUAAACAGACACUGACAAGCGGUGGCUGACGGCCGUCGACAGGGCAGCCCGAUUUUCUGGAUUUGGCUUGAAGAUCUGGCCGACAUUCAAAUUGGGUUAGAGAGAGAAGUAGGAGAGAAACAGGGCUAGAGACACAGGGAAAUCGGAAAAGUGAAAGAAAAUAAAAAUCUGGUUUUUUAUAGUUUAAACAUACGACGUUGUUUUGAGGAUCGGGUCUUCUAAGUGUCUGCGUGUCGACCCGUUCCCGGAUCCGACCUAGUAGUUGCGUCCAUGACCCGCUUCCCUUGUGGAGCCGGUUGAGCCAAGCCAUCCUGCGAGCCGCCGAGCCGAGCAGUUAAUCCAUUAAGCUGAGCCGUGACAAUUUUUAGCUUUUUUUUUUUUUUAUAUAUAUAUAUUUUGUAUUUUAUUUGUUUAUUUGUGUAGGUCUCAUCUUAUAUGAGGUAAUAUCUGAUAUGGUUUCCGGUGGUAGAUGUUUCUGAAGCAAGUAAAAGUGAAAAUAUUUCUAUUAACAAGAAUGAUGAAAUCCCAAAGUUGAUAAGCACAUCAACUGCAGCUGGUUUCAAAACUGAUCGAGUUGAAGAUGAUACUGCCAUGGUAAAUUCAACUGAUGGGGAUCCGAGUGCUGUGUGUAAGUUACCAGUCUGUGGUGAAGAACAAACCACAUCUGGUUGUGUUACAAAACAACCUAUGAUGGCAUACAAUAAUGGAGUUAAUGAAGAUCUUAAGUCAUUACCCGUGCAGAAUUCUUAAGGACAAGGGAUUCAUUUAUCACCGAACAAUUUAAGUCCUAAGUUACGAGGUCAUAGCGUUGAAUUGCCGAGAACUAAUGAAUCCAAUUCUGAACAGAAUCUUCAGAACCUAGUCUUUAUGGAAAGAAAUGAAUCUGCUGGCCUCGAAUCUUUGGAUGGAAGCAGCGUCAAUGAAAUUGAAGGUGAAAAUCUAGUUGAUAGGCUGAAGCAGCAAGUUGAGUAUGAUCGGAUGUGCAUGAAUGCAUUAUAUGAGGAAUUAGAGGAAGAAAGAAGUGCUUCUGCAAUUGCAAUGGCUAUGAUUGCAAGGUUGUAAGAAGAGAAGGCAGCCUUCCACUAGGAGGCCCUGCAGUACCUAAUGAUGAUGGAAGAGCAAGCAGAAUACGGUGUAGAUGCCUUGGAGAAAGCUAAUGAUCUUCUGGCAGAAAAGGAGAAAGAACUACAAGAUCUGGAAGCAGAGCUUGAAUAUUACAGAUUAAACUUCCCAGAUGAAACAUUGGUAGAGACUGUACCUGAUGCAAGCAUCAACUUAAAGAAGGAAUAAGUUUCUGUGGAGAAAACUAGCACAUCCUCCAUAAAAGAUUAUUUAAAAUUUCCCUCGAAAACAAUGUUUCGUGAGGCUUCUGAAGUCAAUGAUAAUCCUGUAGUCAUAUCUGCAUGGUCGGAAAUUGAAGAUGAGAAGUUGUAAAUCUCUCAAUGUCUGCAAAAGUUGGAGAGGAAACUUAACAGGCUUGCUUAUCAUGGGACUUCGCCAUACAUUUCUGAUGGUGAAUACUUUGAUGAAGCAGCGGAUGGAGGCCAACAUCAGCUAGAGUUCCUUUAUAAAAAGGAUAAACAAGUAAUGUGUCAGGUGGAAGGUAAUAAUUUGUCUGUAAAGAAAGCUUCAUCAAUGUCUAAUGGAAGUGCUCCUUCUCAAGAAAGGUUGAGUACUUCAAUAAGCAGAGAUCAAGUGGUAAGUAAGGCAAACGGUCAUAUGGUUUCCAAUGAGCAGAAGGGUUCUAUGGAUUGUAGAGAAACUGGUUUGGCUGCUCUUGAACUGGAAUUUCAGACCUUAAUGAGAGGUUAGAAGCACUUGAGGCUGACUGUAAUUUUCUUGAGCAUUCUCUAUAUUCUCAUCAGAAUGGUAAUGAGGGGCCACUUUUUAUUCAAGAGAUACUUUAUCAGUUACGAGAAUUAAGGAAACUUGGGAUAAGGAGUAGGAACGUGUCUGUUUCAUGAGGUUUAUGUGCAUCAUUACAAAGGUAAGCAUGUUAAAGAUAUAUGGGUCCGAUUAAAAUUAAUUCCUUUAUAUGAGAUAUUAACAUAUAAAUGUUUCUACCAAAAAAUAGUCUUCUCUUGGUAGAGAUUGUGCACACCCAGUAUAAACUUGUUUGCAUGUCUUGAUUGACUUUUGCCUGAAAUUGCUUUUUUGUCUCUCAAUGAAUUAAUUAUGCUGCAUGUUUGUUUAAUUUCAUGUAAAUUGCUAUCAGCUCAAGCUGAUCAUUUAUUUUUGCUUCUGUAGAAACAAGUGCUAUAUAUGGUCAUGGAUCAGCAUAUAUAAUCAGGUUAACCAAGAAUAAUGCCAAAUAUGUGGAAUUUGAUUAUUGCGGGACUGAGAAUAGAAGAUAGGAAGCAGUUUAAAUAGGUAUCUGACAGAUGACUAGAAGUGACUGCCUCUUUAUCCGACUUACCAUCUGUAAGAAAGUAGGGUACUAGGAUUUGUAUUAUCAUGUCUGAAUGUGCUUCAGAUGUUCACAAUAUUUCCCGAGUCUGUUCUGACUUCUGAGAUUCUGCAAGUGAUUAUGUAACAAAAAUGACGUUACUAGCAUUGAUCACAUUACUCCUCCCUCAAGUUGUUGAAUUCUUUAAUGACAGUUUCAUGCCUCCUGUACUCAUCAUUCCCUCUCUGUGUGUGUGUGUGUGUAUAUAUAUAUAUAUUUCAUAUACAUCCCAUUCCCAGAUUGAGCUAGCCCGAAAGCAAAGCAAAGUAUAUCAGCAUGAAAUGUGAUAUAAAGACGGCAGGAGUCAAACUAGUAUCUCUCAGCUUACCACGAAAUUGUGAAUUAUGAAGAUCAUGUUUUACAUGCUAGGCAUCACCUCAUAUGAUCAGGUAUGGGAGUAAAACCGUAAAAUGUAAUUGCUUCAUUGUUCCUUUUCUCUCUUGGUGGGUUUUAUUUAUUUUUAUUGGUAGGCACUUGGCAGUUGUUACAUUUAUGGUAAUUUUUUGGAGCACUGUGCGACUAUAUUGUAAAGUGGGUGAUUCUUUUAGUCUUAUUUACUUCCAGAUUUCUUUUGAGUUUGUUCACACAACAGUAGAAAAUCAACAGAUUUGUUUGAAGAAUUCAAGCAAAAGCUCAUUUAGAUCUAAUGUGCAAACAGUCAUUCAGAACUUUUUUAGAAAUGUAAAAAACUAAUUAUGAAAAAAAUUUAACUUUUUUAUUUCCUUUCUCUUUAAAAAAGAUGAUCUAUUUGAUUAUUUUACAAAAUUUUUUGAUGCAUAAAAUUCAUAAUAUUAUUAUAAUUGUAGAGUAUACUAAUUUAUAUCACUACAUAUAAUAAUAUAAAAGAUUAUUUUUGAUUCCAAACGUAACAACAGAAAAGAAAAAAAUAAUCACCAAAAAAUAUGGGAGAUUUUAGAAAACCAUAUUUAUAUUAGAGAAGAUUUUCUUACAAGUCACUUCUUUGAGAAAGUUGAACGAUCUCUACCUUCUUCAAGAAGGAAUUAUAAAUUUAUACAUAAAGAAAAAUAAUUAAAUAAGACCUACAAUAAUUAUAACGGGUUCAUAAUUUAUCAUAAAAAAAUCGAUUAAACUUAAAUAAUUGACUUGACUUAAAAUAAUUUUAAUAAAAUAAAAAUAAAAUUAUUUUUAUCAAAAUAAUUUUAAUAAAAUAAAUUUAAUUGACUUAACACAAAAUAUGAAAUUGACAAAAUAUAAAUAUAAAAUAAUUUUAUAUAUGUUUCAUUUCGUGAUCUAAUGAUCAUAAAAACUUUUAAAAAAACAUAAAAAUUUAGUUUCGAAUUAAAUAUCUCCUCACCCUUUUAUAAUAAAAUUUUAUUUUUUUUGAAAUAAAAAAAAUUGAUAAAUAUAAAAUAAACAUAAAAUUGAUGUUGAUAAAAAUAAAAUUUGAAUUGAUGUGUUAAUAUCAAAUUUUGUUUGAUAAUCUUUGAAACAAUUUGUAAAACAUCUUAAAAUUAUCACAUAUAUUUAAACGAAUAAAAAAUUUUUGACUUCAUCAUAAUGAUUGAAUUUUUUACUGAAAUAUCAUUACUCGAAGGAGCGUUGAUUAUGUUCUGAAGAGAGGUUCAAAUGAUCGGAAAAGGUUGUAUUAUUUUUUGGUCAAGUGUUACCGUACCAUUUUGUUCCUGAUAAAGAUGAGCAAAGGGAACAUAAAUAUUUCAUUUUGCCAGUUUUAGCACUGUAUCUCCAUUCCCCUGUUUAAGAAAAUUUGAUGUUACUGAUUUUUGGCAGUUUGAUGACGUGACGUCUCUGCUUGCUUUCUGUCAUCAAUGUCCUCUCUCACCCGGCUUGAUGGUAAGCAUGCAGAAGAAACAGUGAGAUGGGAAUUGAAGGAAAAGAUGAUUUUUGAUUUGUUCACGCAUACGCCUUGAGACGUAGUGUUGUCUUUAAAAAGGCUGAACCUUUAGCAAUAAUUAAUAAGGAUAAUAUCUUAUAAGAUUCUUAAAUUAUUUUAAUUUGUUAAAUUUAAUAUUUAAAUUAAAAAAUUAUUAAAUAAAUAUUUAAAAUUAUAUAUCAAUUUAAUUCAAAAAUUAAUUCAUUAGUCGAGUUAUUAAAUUGAUUAUUUUAAGCAAUAAAAAUCCGUCCACUAGACACAAAAUAACAUAUCAUGUUUACGCGGAUUGCUUAUAUGGACACAAAAUGUUCGACGUCGUUUCAAGAGAGUUGCUCUUCUUAGUGUUGUUACCCUCUCCAACAAACGCACACAACCUCACAGCUCGUUCAAUCAAACCACUAUUAGAAGGAAAAUGAAAACUGCCUUUGAAAUCUUCAACGUUCGGAGCUGGAGCUACGAUCAGCUUAGCCUACUCGGGAGAGUGUAAAAGCAGAACGGCUUGUUAAGCCGGGAGUUCUAGCAAAGCCGUGAAGGAACCUGCCUUUGAAACUUUCAACUUCAUCCCUUUCUGACGCCGUUCCAUUAAAUCUGGUUUCCUUCGUCCUUGCUUUUGGCUUCAUGGGGAAAAAAGAAAAACCAACCAAUUUCGAAAUUCUAAAAGAUACCCACUUCAAUUCGUUGAAAAUAAAAAGUACCCAAUUGGUUAAUUCAUCCCAGUUUUGAGUCUAACUGCUUCGAAAACUCUUCAGAGAAACUUCGGUUAAUUUCUUUAACGGCGGUCAGGUCGGUCAAGCUUAGAAAAAUGAGUUAAUGUUUUGAGAGAGAGACAGAUAGAGACUUUGUUGCUCCGGAAAAGAGAUUACUUCUCAUAAGCAAUCCAGAGCAACUCUUCUGGCCUAAUAAGCAAUUCAUGUAAGUAUAAAAUAUCAUUUUGUGUUAAUAUCAUCUUGCGUUCAUAUCAAGGAUUUUUAUUGAUUAAAAUAAUCAAGUUAAAAAUUUAAUUAAUAGAAUUAAUUUUUAAACCAAAUUAAUAUACGAUUUUAAAAUUUAAAUAUUUUUUUAAUAAUUUUUUUAAUUUAAAUAUCAAAUUUAAUAAAUUAUAAUAAUUCGGGAACUAUAUAAGAUAUUAACCAUAAUUAAUAUAAUAGUCCAACUGGAUGGUCGCAUCUGUGGCAGUGGUGCCCUACAGAAAAUGGGCUACUAAGGAAAAAAGCUUCCAAAAAAAAUUAAAUAUAUAUAUAUAUAUAUUUUCAAUGGAAAUGAAGUUCCAGAAAAAAAAAAUUUUUAGUUGUUUGGUAAUUUCAUUGGAACUUGUUUUUCUUUGUUUGGUAUUCAAUAAAAAAUAUAAAAAUUUUCCGUAACUUCGUAUCUAAUAUUUCACAAUCUAGAUUAUACUUUUUUUUCACUAAAAAAAUCUGAAACUAACAAAAACAAACGGGCGAAGUAAAGCAGAUUUUUUUGGUUUUGGGUGCAUUGAAGAACCAACCAAUGGAUCUGAAACCUACCCAACUUGUUCUUCAAUAUUCUCCUUUGUUUCUAGGUUUGUCACACCUACCUAACUUUCAAUGGAUCUGACACCCAAGCAAGAAACUUGCCAAUUCAACGUCAGCUACCCAUCAAAACCGAUAUACUUUGCAAUCAAUGUCCCCAUCCACGAUGUCAACUCCAACAGAGCCGUUACGAAGGUGAGCAAGAAAGAUUUCGUCUCAAUCUCGAUGGCUUCGCAAAGGAGAUGGAUGUCAAGAAAUUCGGGGGAAGCCGUUUUGACGAUGGGGGAGAAAGUUGUGGUUAGUUGUUUGGGAGGGGGGGGGGGGGUUCUGGGUUGAGGUCUUGGGUUCAUGACUUCUUCAAGGGUAGAAGAUUUGGAGUUGAUCUGUUAUCAAAAUUGUCUUCCGCUCAAAAAAAAUGGAAGACAAUUUUCGUGCUUUAUAUUACAUUUUUCGUUGAUUAGAAGUUAUUUUUUGUUGAUCAUAUCAUUCAAACAAUGAAAAACGAAAAAAUAGAUUUUCGGAAAUCAUUUUCACGCCUACUAAAUGGAGCCCUAAAUUGUUAAAUCUUUUAUUAACCAAUUUGAUAAGUUUAAGAGUCGAUGGUCUAAUUGAGACAAGGAUAAAAUUUGGACCAGGAUUGAUUACUUGCAGCGUCUGUCGCUGAUCCAUCAUGUUGCUCCUUAUCUUUUGAUUUUUUUAUUAAAAAUAAAAAAUAUGCUUGAAUUAUAAUAAUAAUAAUAUAAAAUUUUAAUAUUUUAUUAUAAUUAAUUAAAAUUUUAUUAUUAUUUUAAUUUAAUUAUAUUUUUAAUUGAAUGAAAUUUAAUCAUACUGUAAGAUUGAAUCAAUUUAUUUUUGAAUUAUAAUUAAUUAAAUCUUUAUAAAAAUAUUAAAAAGAGACAAAAAAUAGAUUAAAAAGGAAAAAUUAUUUUUUUAAUUUUCAUUUAUUAAUUAUAUUAUGUGACAAAUUUUAAUUAAUGUCAUAUAAAUUUUUUUUAAUUAAAAAAAUUUAUGAUGUUAAUUUUUUAUUCAAAUAAAUACUAAUUAAAUACAAAUAAAUAUUAAAUUAAUUAAUUGAUCAUAAAAAAAUUAAUUAAAUAUAAUUAAAUAUAAAUAAAUAUUAAAAUUAAUUGAUUACCAUAAAAAAUAAAUAAUUGGAUAUGAUUAAGAGCUUUUUACACCCUUUAUUUUAAUUUUUUUAGAGUCCUAUACCUUUCGUUCAUGUGAGAACUUUAUCUUGAUUUCUCUAUAGUAUUUCGUCAUCCCUUACCCUUCUCCUGCAAAUAAAAAAUAAAAGUUAGAAAGAGUCUGAACUUAAGUAGCUUAGUAAUGGUUCUAGAAAUUAAAUACUUCUCUUCCAGGCAAAUCUGUCUUUGACAACUAUUGCUCCCAAAUUCAUGAUAGAAGAUAAACUUUUACAAUAGCUUAUUAGAUAUAGAAGGAUGUUUAUUCAGUUAUUGAGCUCGAUAUUGUUCCUCCUCACUCUCCCAUUUUUCUUCUUAAUCACCACCAAAGCCUCCAAAUCCAAGAAACCAUCGACAGCCCCAUGUCCAUCCACUGUUUUCCCGAAGUCUUAUCCAAUAAUCGGCUCCUACUUCGCCAUCAAAUCCAAUCGAAGCAAUCGCUUGCAGUGGACUACACGUAUCCUCCAGAGCUCUCCCUCUGCAACUUUCACUCUCCACCACUUGUUCGGUUUUCGCCAGAUCUUUACUGCAAACCCUGCCAACGUCCAGCACAUGCUCAAGACCCACUUCUUCAACUACCAAAAAGGCCCUCAUUUUACAAGCAGUCUCUUCGAUUUUCUUGGUAACGGCAUCUUUAACGUUGAUGGGGGGUCUUGGAAGUUCCAGAGACAAGUUUCUAGUCACGAGUUCAACACCAAAUCUCUUCGUAAAUUUGUACAAACUGUUGUUGAUACCGAGCUUCAUGACCGUUUGAUUCCGAUGUUUUCUGCUGCUGCAUCUGACCAGACCGUGCUUGACUUGCAAGAUAUUCUUCAAAGGUUCGCUUUUGACAACAUUUGCAAGAUCGCUUUUGGGUUUGACCCUGCCUGUCUCUUGCCUUCUUUACCGCAGGCACAGUUUGCAGAAGCUUUUG
This 9795-nucleotide long non-coding RNA is filed under the name Durio zibethinus. RNAcentral describes it as "long non-coding RNA (DZIB_LNC000973)". Lineage: Eukaryota; Viridiplantae; Streptophyta; Magnoliopsida; Malvales; Malvaceae. The record is from RNAcentral.